UACGAAGGGAGCUAGCGUUGUUCGGAAUCACUGGGCGUAAAGCGUGCGUAGGCGGCUUUGCAAGUCAGGGGUGAAAUCCCACAGCUUAACUGUGGAACUGCCUUUGAAACUGCAAAGCUAGAAUGUGAGAGGGGAUGGCGGAAUUCCUAAUGUAGAGGUGAAAUUCGUAGAUAUUAGGAGGAACACCCGUGGCGAAAGCGGCCAUCUGGAUCACAAUUGACGCUGAUGUACGAAAGCGUGGGUAGCAAACAGG
Molecule: ribosomal RNA, 253 nt
Filed under: uncultured bacterium
Lineage: Bacteria
Description: partial 16S ribosomal RNA
Rfam family: Bacterial small subunit ribosomal RNA
Source: RNAcentral